This 265-nucleotide ribosomal RNA is filed under the name Escherichia coli. RNAcentral's name for it is "partial 23S ribosomal RNA". It matches the Rfam family "Bacterial large subunit ribosomal RNA", at positions 1 to 257 of the family's 2925-position model. The record is from RNAcentral. Lineage: Bacteria; Pseudomonadati; Pseudomonadota; Gammaproteobacteria; Enterobacterales; Enterobacteriaceae.
GGGUUGUGAGGUUAAGCGACUAAGCGUACACGGUGGAUGCCCUGGCAGUCAGAGGCGAUGAAGGACGUGCUAAUCUGCGAUAAGCGUCGGUAAGGUGAUAUGAACCGUUAUAACCGGCGAUUUCCGAAUGGGGAAACCCAGUGUGUUUCGACACACUAUCAUUAACUGAAUCCAUAGGUUAAUGAGGCGAACCGGGGGAACUGAAACAUCUAAGUACCCCGAGGAAAAGAAAUCAACCGAGAUUCCCCCAGUAGCGGCGAGCGAA